This is a small nuclear RNA of Eptesicus fuscus (big brown bat), 104 nucleotides long. The record is from RefSeq and is a predicted model, not a curated record. Lineage: Eukaryota; Metazoa; Chordata; Mammalia; Chiroptera; Vespertilionidae.
GUGCUUGCUUCUGCAGCACAUCCACUAUUGGAAUGAUACAGAGAAGGUUAGCGUGGCCCCUGUGCAAGGAUGACACGAAAAUGCGUGAAGCGUUCCAUAUUUAA